This is a transfer RNA of Fomitiporia mediterranea MF3/22, 80 nucleotides long. It matches the Rfam family "tRNA". From Rfam's summary of the family: Transfer RNA (tRNA) molecules are approximately 80 nucleotides in length. Their secondary structure includes four short double-helical elements and three loops (D, anti-codon, and T loops). NCBI's taxonomy places the organism in Eukaryota, Fungi, Basidiomycota, Agaricomycetes, Hymenochaetales, Hymenochaetaceae. The record is from Rfam.
GGCGAGAUGGCCGAGCGGUCUAAGGCGCUGGAAUCAGGAUCCAGUCCGAAAGGGCGUGGGUUCGAAUCCCACUCUCGUCA